RNAcentral lists this transfer RNA (61 nucleotides) under Olidiana longisticka. RNAcentral describes it as "tRNA-His". Lineage: Eukaryota; Metazoa; Arthropoda; Insecta; Hemiptera; Cicadellidae. The record is from RNAcentral.
GUUUAAGUAGUUUAUAUUAAAAUAUAAAGUUGUGGUCUUUAGGAAGUGUUUGCCUUAAAUC